GUUUAACCACAAUGGUUACAACCGUGUUCACUGUCAAGAGCGACAGCAGAGCGGAUGUCUGCUGAGUAAACGCCGUGUUGUUGACUGCUGUCACAGUUUUGUAACUGUACAGGGUCGCAGUAGAUGGCAACCCAAACAGCUGACAGUUGCACAGAAAGAGGAAGGCAGAGGCUUGAGAGUCCCAAAAGUGUCGGCAUCAGAGCUUCUCUGAAAACUGUGUAAAAGGAGUGGACGUAGCCACUGUGACAUCAUGCCUUUGUUUGUGGACUGCAGUUUUGAAGCCACAAGUUGGGCAUUUUGGCCAUCGCCAUCUUGGUGUGUUGGAUCCAGAAGUGACCAUAUUUGGAUGACAGGGUGGAGCUGUGGUGGAUUUCACUGAGAACCCAAUCACAAGGUUCCUCCUGGAUGCGUGCUGCUUACAAUCUGUUACCAGGAUGAAAUCUGUGCUCUGCUUAAAGUCGACUCUCAAGAGGGACGUGUCGAGAUGGGUCAGAAACCUCCAAUUCAGCCCGUUUAUGGCUACUUUGGAGAGGAGAGAAAGUGGACAGUAUCUGUCACGGGAUGACAUCAGAGCCAAUAACCAUUCAACAGACAGUUUAAAAAAACGUCAUUAUGGCAUCUUCAUUUAUCGCUGUCUUAUUUUUACUUUCUUUCAUUUCUUUUACCACUGUUUGUCUUUUCUUGUAUGUUGUGUAUGCAGAUUUUUUGUUUUCUUUGUUUUAUUGUUGUUUACAUUGUUGUUUUGUUUCAUUUUUAAUGAGCAGUAAUGUCAGUUUUUUAUUUGUUUAAACAGGGGAGAACUCUAAACAAGCCUUUCGGGCUCCCUUCCUCUCCUGCAGUGAAGUUACUGUCUUUUCUAUUGCAUGUAUUUUGUUUGUUUUUUUUAUUACUGUGCAAAUAAAUAAAUAAAAUAAACUGUGUGGCAAAACUAUCCACUCGUCCAUAGAUGGCCCCGGUCCUACUGAAUCAUAAACUUGAGUGUUUGUGAUGGAGAGUGAGGAGCAGUGUGCUGAUGGGAAAGAGCUCGUAUGAUCAGCCAACCCAGCAUGUGUAAAUAAACAUUAAAUAAAUAACAAACUGCUCUGGUAGCUAGG
Molecule: non-coding RNA, 1094 nt
Organism: Epinephelus lanceolatus (giant grouper)
Lineage: Eukaryota; Metazoa; Chordata; Actinopteri; Perciformes; Serranidae
Source: RefSeq, a predicted model, not a curated record